AGGAACCUGCCUCAAAGAGGGGGACAACAGUUGGCAACGACUGCUAAUACCGCAUAAGCCCACGGCUCGGCAUCGAGCAGGGGGAAAAGGAGCAAUCCGCUUUGAGAUGGCCUCGCGUCCGAUUAGCUAGUUGGUGAGGUAAUGGCCCACCAAGGCGACGAUCGGUAGCCGGACUGAGAGGUUGAACGGCCACAUUGGGACUGAGACACGGCCCAGACUCCUACGGGAGGCAGCAGUGGGGAAUAUUGCACAAUGGGGGAAACCCUGAUGCAGCGACGCCGCGUGGAGGAAGAAGGUCUUCGGAUUGUAAACUCCUGUUGUUGAGGAAGAUAAUGACGGUACUCAACAAGGAAGUGACGGCUAACUACGUGCCAGCAGCCGCGGUAAAACGUAGGUCACAAGCGUUGUCCGGAAUUACUGGGUGUAAAGGGAGCGCAGGCGGGAGAACAAGUUGGAAGUGAAAUCCAUGGGCUCAACCCAUGAACUGCUUUCAAAACUGUUUUUCUUGAGUAGUGCAGAGGUAGGCGGAAUUCCCGGUGUAGCGGUGGAAUGCGUAGAUAUCGGGAGGAACACCAGUGGCGAAGGCGGCCUACUGGGCACCAACUGACGCUGAGGCUCGAAAGUGUGGGUAGCAAACAGGAUUAGAUACCCUGGUAGUCCACACCGUAAACGAUGAUUACUAGGUGUUGGAGGAUUGACCCCUUCAGUGCCGCAG
RNAcentral lists this ribosomal RNA (715 nucleotides) under uncultured bacterium. Its description in RNAcentral is "bacterial SSU rRNA". It matches the Rfam family "Bacterial small subunit ribosomal RNA", at positions 120 to 851 of the family's 1533-position model. The record is from RNAcentral.